Molecule: ribosomal RNA, 465 nt
Filed under: Vreelandella stevensii
Lineage: Bacteria; Pseudomonadati; Pseudomonadota; Gammaproteobacteria; Oceanospirillales; Halomonadaceae
Description: partial 16S ribosomal RNA
Rfam family: Bacterial small subunit ribosomal RNA
Source: RNAcentral
CCUACGGGGGGCUGCAGUGGGGAAUAUUGGACAAUGGGGGGAACCCUGAUCCAGCCAUGCCGCGUGUGUGAAGAAGGCCCUCGGGUUGUAAAGCACUUUCAGUGAGGAAGAACGCCUGGUGGUUAAUACCCAUCAGGAAAGACAUCACUCACAGAAGAAGCACCGGCUAACUCCGUGCCAGCAGCCGCGGUAAUACGGAGGGUGCGAGCGUUAAUCGGAAUUACUGGGCGUAAAGCGCGCGUAGGUGGCUUGAUAAGCCGGUUGUGAAAGCCCCGAGCUCAACCUGGGAACGGCAUCCGGAACUGUCAAGCUAGAGUGCAGGAGAGGAAGGUAGAAUUCCCGGUGUAGCGGUGAAAUGCGUAGAGAUCGGGAGGAAUACCAGUGGCGAAGGCGGCCUUCUGGACUGACACUGACACUGAGGUGCGAAAGCGUGGGUAGCAAACAGGAUUAGAUACCCGUGUAGUC